UACAGAGGGGGCAAGCGUUGUUCGGAAUUACUGGGCGUAAAGGGCGCGUAGGCGGCCUUCUAAGUCGAACGUGAAAUCCCCGGGCUCAACCCGGGAACUGCGUCCGAUACUGGAAGGCUUGAAUCCGGGAGAGGGAUGCGGAAUUCCAGGUGUAGCGGUGAAAUGCGUAGAUAUCGGGAGGAACACCUGUGGCGAAAGCGGCUCACUGGACCAUAACUGACGCUGAUGCACGAAAGCUGGGGGAGCAAACAGG
RNAcentral lists this ribosomal RNA (253 nucleotides) under uncultured bacterium. RNAcentral describes it as "partial 16S ribosomal RNA". It matches the Rfam family "Bacterial small subunit ribosomal RNA", at positions 524 to 776 of the family's 1533-position model. The record is from RNAcentral.